GGUGAACUUUCCUUCUUGGCAAUAUCUACUACCCCUCCUGGGUGGUAUUACAGGAGUUUAUAGCAGUCUCCAACUGGAAAUAGUAUCAGGAUGCUGCUCCAACGAUCUUUCACGUCAAGGUCAGCCCACCCCCCAGUUGGGAACUGGUGGGAGCUACAGCCUGAAAGGACAGCGGAAGGAGGAGGGAAGACACACUAUAUUCAUCUACUCCGACAAGCAUCACGGGCAAAGCAAAAGCAAUGGAGAUGACUGGUCUGUGGGGACGGGGGUGGCACUCUCACAGGGAUGGCCGUGGCAGACACUGCUGAAGCCCAGAGCCACUACAACACUGCGACUUCAUGGCACACACAGUUAGGGGCAGUGAGAAAGGUUUACUUAACUGUUCUAGGCUGUAGCAAGGAUGGUUUAUGUUUGUGCUUAAAGGUGAAGAGAAGAAAAGAAAACAAGGAGAGAAACUUUAGGUCAGAUAUAGAAAAUGAGAAUGAGCUCAAUGCAGAUGGUCAGUAAGCUAGACAUGCCCUUGCCACUCUAGCUACACUUGGGAACGUGCAGCUGGCUUUGCUGGGCCACCCUGCUGCCCAGCAAACCCAGACUCGACCUUUUCAGUCUCCAUUUCUACUCCAGAGAGAAUGUGCAAAAAAUCAAUCCAACACCACCUGUAAGUCCAGCAUUUCACAAAUCUCAUUGCAAAUGCAUCUGGGGACCCAGGGAACCCCGCUCUGUAUUCUAAAGAGAUGAACGUGUAAAGGUCACAGGCCCUAAGAGGCUCUACAGCCAUGAGCCUACUGUCCACCCUUCUACCCUCAUCUCCCUUAUAUCAAGCUAGUCCUAAUUCUUAAGGAAACAGCAAUACUGCUCUGAAAACAAGAAUCCUUAAGUACUUUUCCAGAGAAGAUGUAGUUUUCUUUGGAGGAAGAAACCACAGUGGCCCACACCAGACAGCUUUGGCUAUCUGGACCUUAAAAAGCUUGGGGCCUCUUUGUGCCACACUAGGGGGACAGGGCAUCAGAAGGUGGCCACUAAACAAUUUCCAACAUAUAAAACCAUAGAGAAACAAUUACACAGCUCCCCCCUUACCCAAUGAGACAAUCUCCUCUGGACUCUGCUGCCCCAAGGGAGAAGCAACCAACCCCACAUGUCGUUCUAUAGAAUUAAAUGUAGGAAAUCCUGCCUCCCCCCCCCCCUCCCCCCGAAUAGCUCCCAACCACGGAGCUUCCACCUGUUCCAGGUGGGGACACGUCCCGUCCCCACCUAGGGCAGGUAGGUAGCAAGAAGUUAGAGCCCACCCCCGUCCCACAGCCUUCCCAGACAAGGUCACAAAAGACCCACAUUUUAAAAGGGAAUCUGCUUCCUUCUCUCCAAAACCCUGGAUGUGCAAAAGGGCUAUCGGAGUUAAAGGGAGUCACGAUUCUGCAACACAAAUCGAUGGGUCAUACCCCCAACCUUAUAACUCUUAGGCAAUCCCCAGAGUGCCAAUCUGAAAUAAUUCAGAAAGCAAAGCAACUUGUGACAUAACAGGAACAUUAACUCUAAACAAAAAGUAGAAUCAAAACAAGAAAAGGAAUUAGUUUUGCAACAUACACAUAACCAAUCACGUCAGCGAAGGGUUGUUUGUAGAAAGCUUCAUCUGCCACCCUAGACAGCAAGAGGUCCAAAAGGCAGGCAAGCAGGCAGGAAAAAAGAGAGAACAUUGAGAAGCAGAAACAUCUCAAAUCCACAGUAGAGGCAUGACUGUGCUCCAGGGCGCUGCUCCCAAGGCUCCGUCCUCACCCAGCAAGGCUUCAAGUGCUGGAGACCAGCAGGCAAGGUUCUCCACUGGCCUUCCCCAGGGGCGGGUUCUCCCAAGGGAGCCCUGCCAACUCCUUCCCCACCUUCUCCUGACAACGGCGAGCCUUUCUCAGCACCCGCUUCCAGGUAAGCCCUUUUAGAGACUCCGAAUCCAUCCGAUCCAAUCCUCAACCCCAACGACCUAGGAGAACACUAGGACGUGGUCUCACCAACACUUUACAGAUCAGGUAACAGGAGGCCUAGAGAUGAAGCAACCUGCUCAAGCCCAGGCGGCAGAACUCAGAAGCAGGCCAGCCUGGCUCUCUGCACUGUGCUAUAAGGCUCCUUCCCCGCUGGCAGAUGACCGGGAAGCCACCCCGCCUUCCCGUCAGCCUCAGGGAGUCUCGCUAGGCACGAACGCUGCCAGCUGCCUGACACCAAACACGCUAGGCCCCAAAGCCAUUAUCCAACUACUGCUUCCGAACCACCCUGGCUGAAUGGGAUCAGUUUUCAGUAUUCUGGGAACAGAUGAGGAAAAAGUUGCCGGACACAAGUGGUCUGGCGGAAAGGACUGCAGCCCAGGGUCCUGGCUCUGGCACCGUCUUCCUGUGUGUCCCCGAAUAAGCUGGUUCGUCCGCUCAGUCCAUGCCAGACUGGACUGCCACCACAAGGUGCAGUCCAGAAACCCCAACUUCACUUCCCCUCUCUCUCACACCAGGAAUGGAUCAAAGUGGCAGGGCUCUAUGAGACAGAAAGGGAAGGGGGGCACGCUGGGUGGAGGAGUUUACACCCCCACAGACAGGCUGGCUUAUUUAGACUUUGUUGCCCCAGGCUGAAUCCCUGGGCCCAGCCAGCCCACCCCAUCUAUUGUGGGUGGGCAGGGAACCUCCCUGCGGAAAUCUUACCCUGUCCUUUGCCACGCUGGUUUUGGGGCACAGGAGCGGAAGGGGCAUUUUGAAGGAAAAUCAUGCCUGUUUAUUAACCUAGGGUCACUUAUUUAUUUAAAGGGAAAUUCUAGUAAUUUUAUUUCAGUUUAUUUUUAGACUCACCCACAGCCUGCCUUCUUUCCCAUUUUGGUUUAUACAUGGGAGGUGUUUUGUGGAAAUUUGAUUGUAACUCUCAGUGAGUCAGCAGGAAAACAGAGUUGUUUGUGGGCAGAAUGAGUGGGCGGGAAAGGAAAGGCCAGACAGCUUGUAAGCCCAUAAUCCUUUUAGUUUACACAAAGGGCUAAACCUAAUCAAUUUCAGUUUGUGCUUGCUCCUACUGGAAGAAAAUAAAGGUUUAGUGACUCCAGGGGAGGCAUCACUAAGACAACAAAAGCCUGAAUGCCAGGCUUCAGUUCCUUUGCAGUUAGCCCCGAGACUAAAGAGCUUGUUAGUGACAGCAGAGCCCCAUCUGGGUCGGGUUACAGACAAGCAGGACAAAUGGAAAAUCAUCAUCUAAGUGGCCUGUUUGUUCUUCACCCACCAGACAGAAGGGCCUGAACGCAGCAAUCCUCAUGGAAGCCUGUGGGAAAGGCUGCUUUCCCACAGGGUGCUCAAGAGGUGACCCACAUCAAUAGCCCCAA
This is a long non-coding RNA of Panthera uncia (snow leopard), 3334 nucleotides long. RefSeq lists it as uncharacterized. Lineage: Eukaryota; Metazoa; Chordata; Mammalia; Carnivora; Felidae. The transcript is spliced from 2 exons. The record is from RefSeq and is a predicted model, not a curated record.